UUGAAUUUCGAAAUAGUAUAAUUCAGAAAAAAAUUUAAAAAAAUUAUUUUUUAUUUAUUUAGAUUUUUAUUUAUUUAAAUAUUUAUUUAUUAUAUAUAUAAAGAACAUGGGCAUAAGAGUCUUUUGCCAAUUAGUGAAGAAGGUAUUUUUGAAAAUUUCUCUUUAUUGGUGGUAUAAAUGAAAAGUGAUAGCAUGAAAGUGGUAAAUAUGUAAUUUCCUCUAAAAAAUACAAUUUCUUUUAAGUUUAUGAUGGGUCAGUCAUUUGACCAAGCGGGUCCGCCACAGUUUGGACAACUCAUGUACGCAUCAGUGGCAAUCUGCUUGCAUGCAAUAUAACUAUAGUUUCAUGUUUCCCAUCUCUUGAAAAAUAUUUCUUCAACAUUUACAUGCAAUAAAACUAUAGUUUCGACUAUAAGGAAGAUCAUCACUCAUUCUGUUAUUCAUCGGAUAUGGCGUCAGCGAAUAAGCUGGUGUAUAAUCAAAUUAAUCUUCAUCCCACGGAACAUUGUGUUCAGGUUAAUUGACUGAGAGGUGCGGAGUAUAAUCCUUGGGCCAAAGAACCGAAGGAAGUCCCAAAAUCUUCUGUCUCAUUGGCUAGUUUAGUAAAUCUCUUUCUGUAAGGUAAUUCUACAUUAUUUGCUUGUUUUUACCUUUUUUGCCUUGGAAGUAUGUUCUUAGGACUACUAUUCUUGUAAGCUCUUUUUCCAUUUAUAUGAUAUUAACAUACAUAGCAAAAAAAAUAUUUGAAUUAAUAAAAGAUAGAUGGUAAGUCGGCAAGAACAAAACAGACAUCUACACAGUGAAAUAAAGAAAAAAAUGCUCUUGAAAAGCUCAAUAAAAGGUUAUUGAAAUCUAAAAGCCAUUCCUUAUUUCAGUGCAGAUCUUUCUCUGAGGGAAGUAUCGAAUAUAGACCUUGCCUAGAUAACUUUGAUCAACUGUAAAGGAAGAGAUAAAUUGUUUAUAUUUUUUCAUCAAAAUAGUUGAUAUAUUGUUAUAAAAAUCCCCUCUUAUCCUGCCUCGAAGAAGUCUCCUCCCUUCUAGUUCUUCUCUAAUACCUCUCCAAAACUCAUAUUGCUAAUAUCAGAGGUUUCACCUUAAUUAAUGCAGGUCCCAAUUACAUAGAAGUGGUUACAACGUUUCAUAGGAACCAUUGCUCUUGAAUGGUCAAUUACAACAGCCAGGGAGCCUACGGGUGAUGAAGCUAAUGACAGCGAUGAGGAGCUAAAGAAAUCAAUGUAGAUGGUGUUAUAUCCCUUGGCUAUUUUGUCUCUCUUUUGGAACAAGCAACCGUUGAGCCUUGCUUGCCCAAGAAAUUAAGAGAAGUCUUACUUUUGUUUAAUCGCUUGAUGUGAUGGUUUCCCUAUUGCGUGGUCACUGCAGCAGGAGACAGGGCAAGUGUAACCGAGUGGAAGGGAUAGAGGAAGAGGGCGUGGAAGGGACUUGGACGAUGUGCAAAAACACAAGACGGUUUCACUAUACACAGAACAUGUUAGAGUCGUCAAAACAUCAUAUAGAUGAAACAACGGUAAUAAAUUUUUAUUUAAUUACCACAUGCUCAAACACUUUCUGAAGCUGUGAGUAAGUUCAAGUUUAGAUCUUACAAAUUAUCCAAAAAGAUCAUAUAUCUUGAAAACCAGAGCUGAUCGGGAACCAAACUAAAACCAAAUCAAGAACCGAAUCACUACCAAAAUUUCUAUAAUAUAAUUUAUACACUUAUAAAUAUUAACUAUAUUUAUUUUAAAAAUAAUAAAAUAAUUGAAAAAUACUUUUUAUAAGCUGGAAUACUCAAAAAAUUGAAUAACCAUAAUACUUUUUGUCAGAAUUUUUAAAAAAUAUUCGAAUUAUCUAAACUUUUAUCCAAAAAUACAAAAAAUCUGAUAUUUAAUCAAAAAACUUAAAUUUCUAACUUUUUACUUGAAUUAACUAAAAAACCGGAACGAACAAGAACUUAAUAGGAUCCAAAUUAUUUUGGAUAUUAGUUGGCUCCUAACUUUGUUACCUAAAACGAACCGAGAACCGAAACCAAACUGAAUUUUCUAAAUAUCCAAACCGAUGCUAAACUUUUAAACCAAAGAACCAAAUCAGAACAGCAACAGAUUUUUUUAUUUCAUUUAUAGUACUUCUAAAUAUUAGAAAUUUAAAAGAUAAUGAGCCAAUUAAUAAAGAAUUGUUGAUAUCCUAUCAAGAAAUUUUCAGGACACUUUUACAAUAAAGAGAGUGUUGCAAACUAAACAUGUUUGUAAAUGAUGAAAAUUUGUUUCAGGAUAGCUCCCAGGAACCAAACAUGAUAUUAGAUACCUGUAUCAUCAGAAACAGCUAGUAUACUCUAAUAACACUACAAGAAAUAUAAGUAUUGAUAGCACAUCACGGUAGCACGAAUUCACAAACUGCUACUAAAAAUGGGUAGUUUGGAUGUUUAACUCUAUUAUAGCAUUAAAUCAACGCUACUUAGUAUUUUGCAGGAUUUUUACGAAGCGGGAAGACAAAAAUCCAAUUUUUAUACUUGUAAAAUUCAUUGGUGCCAAAUACUUAGUGAAAAUAUCACUUUUGCCACCAAAAUAUUUUGUUUUAGUAGAACUAUUUUUUUUUCUCUAGGUCUUUUCAUUUUUUUUUCUUCAGAAGAAAAAAAACCUCCAUUCUCUAUUUUAUCUUCUUCUCCAUUCGUGACAAAAAAGAAUAAACUUCUCUCCAUUGCUUCAAUCGAGCUUCUUCAUCAUCCAUCUUCAUCUAUUAUGGGUCAUCUGUUUCUCUAAGUUUCCCUUUAAUCGAUUUACUGAAAUCGAAUCAGUGAAACUAAAUCUAGGGAUUGAAGAGUAUUAACGGAGGAGGAGACGGAGCCACGGCGGAGAUGCUGACGGAGUUUCAGUGACGGUAACAUCGGCUGCCUUUCUGCAAGCCUGAGCAACCCGAGUUUGAAGAUGGUUUUGACGAUGAGAUUAAGGAAAUUGUUGUGAAGUUUAAUUUCGGGUAUGCAUGUUUAUUUCUUCUUUCUUCGAGAGUGCAUUCUCAUACACAAGACCUGUUGCUGUUUGGUGAGUUACUUGCAUCUGAGGAGCUUGUCUUGUGUCUGAAUCGCCUUUUGCUGUGACUGGACUGUAUUGAAACUGCAGUUUGAUAGCUUGUGAUGACUGAACCCAUCUUAAAGGCUGCUAGGUAUUGAUUCAGUUGGAAUGGUGUAGAGCCUGAUGAGUGACGAAGCUUCAAGGGUUGCGAGUGCCAGAGUACAGAGUGACGAAGCUUCAAGGGUUGCGAGUGCCAGAGUACAGAAAAUGGAAUCCUUGCUCCAGAGCAUCUUCACUGCCGGGUCUCGGUGUCGGGCUGAGAUUGUGAAGGCUGCGACCGUGCAUUCGGAUUCUUAUCGUCAUCCUCUCGGUUUGUCCUGACUUCAAAUGUACUUGAGAAGAAGAACACGUUGGGGAUUGUAUGAUCACUUUCUUCUUUGUGCUUGCUUCUAGUGUUGUUGUAUUGGCAGUGCGUUAGUCUCAAAGCAACUUUCCAUGAGAGGAAGACCACAAAGACUUGCAUUCACUUCAAAGAAUGAUUUAGGUUUCUUUGAUUUUAAUUUUGAUAUGUUAAAGCUUGUUGAGACAUUGGUUCGUAGAUGAAGUUCCUAGACUUAGCAAAUGAAAUAAUUUAUGUUUUGAAAAAUUAAUGAAAUAUAAUUUCUUAUAUAUAUAUCAAAUUGCAAUGUUUUGAUUUACAUUUUGCACUACAAUUUAUGUGACAAUUAACAUUUCAACAAUAAUAAAUUUGAAAAAAAAAAGAAUUUUUUAUUUCAAAUUCUAUACCCUAAACAUGCCCUAAAUCCUAAAUUGUGAAUAUUUCAUCAUAAAAUCCUAAGAUAGCACAACUAGUAAUAUGAUAAAAAGAAAAUCUAAUACUGAUAAUAAAUUAGAAAAAAAAAAAUCACCUCAUCUAAACCCUAAACAUGCCUUAAAUUUCAACAUCCAACACUUAUAGUAGAUUUCAAAAUGAACAUUUGUAAUUAUCAAACUUUAAAAAAUUAUAACUUUAUAACUUUAUAAUUUAUUUUUUUAAUCUUCAUUAUAAAAUUUAACUCCAAAACACUAAGUAUGUUUUAACCCCUAAACUCAAAACAUAACUAAAACUCUAAUUUGUGUUACAAAAAAAAAUAAUAAUUAAAACUCUAUUUUUUUCAGACCAUAACCUAUAAUAUUAAAAUUAAACUUAAAAUUUAGUGUUUUAUUGUUAAGUUAUAACUUACAAACAUAAACCUUAAAUCUUCAAUCAAACUCCAUACCCUAAACCCUAAGUCCUAAUAUAAACCAUAUUUCCACUUAAUAAAAACCUGAAAUCUAAAUUUUAAUUCUUUAAAAGAAAAAACUUUAUACAAGUGUGUUAUAGUAAAAAAAAGAAAUGUUAUAUAAACUAAAAAGUUAAAUAAAUAAAUAACAAAACACAAUUGACAAAAAAAAAAUAACAAAACACAAACAACAGAAAUGUUUUUUUGGUUAAUAAACACACAAAGAGACUGAAAAUAUGAACCACUAAUACAAAAGUGCGCGGAUCACCAUCUUAACCGUUGAUAUACUUUAAUCCAAUGGUCAGAUUUAACCCUUUUGUGUUUAUUCUCUUGUCCCUCUCUCUCCUCUGUCGUAACUUUUUCUCCUCUAUCUACCAGUUUUUUUUAUUCUUCCUCUGUCAACCUCUACCACCGAUUUUCCUGAUUUCUUCCAUCUUCAUCCUCUUAUCUCACUGAUUUCUCUUUUCCAUCUCUCUCCCCUGUCGAACUCAUGAAUUUUGUGGCUUUUGUUUAGGGGUUUCACUAAGCUUAACAAAGCAGACUUUACUAAGUUGAGGCAAGAGAAGCGUGUUGCUCCUACGUCCAUCUUCUCCGACUCCCUCUUUCCCUCUCCCACGGUUCCAUGUCUCUCCAUCUCACAAACUGGCUAUGUCAAUGGUAGAAGAAUUGAACGUGUGAAGAAGAACCAGAGGAGGUAUGCGACUGACGUAAGCGAAUAGAGGUUGUGGAGGCUGGAGUAAGAGAACAAAGGCUUGAGGCGGAUGCUCUAGAGGCUGGAGGCGCUGCAUGCGGAGGCUGGAGGCGGACGCUCUGGUAGCGACGGCUUAUGUUUAGGUUAAGCUUAAUUAUGUUUUGGUUAGUUAAUUAGUUUUAAACCCGGUUUGUAUGUAAACUGGUUUAAUUUAUAAACUGAAAACAUUUGUAAUCUUCUGGUUUAAUUUGUAAACCGAAAUCAGGUGUAAACCAAAUUUUUAAUAUCAACCGAAAUCAUUUGCAAA
This is a long non-coding RNA of Brassica napus (rape), 5262 nucleotides long. RefSeq lists it as uncharacterized. The transcript has 6 exons. Lineage: Eukaryota; Viridiplantae; Streptophyta; Magnoliopsida; Brassicales; Brassicaceae. The record is from RefSeq and is a predicted model, not a curated record.